GAAGAAACCGCCACCCAAAAAGAAACCUCCAAUGGAAGAAACCGCCACCCUUGAUGAGGAAACCCUGACCACCUUGGACGGUGGCAAGCCUCCCAAGAAGAAGCCUCCGCCGAUAAAGCCACCACCAAAGCACAAGCCUCCAACGGGUGUUGAGGACGCCCACAAGCCACCUGGUGGUGGUGGCCACAAGCCACCUGGUGGUGGUGGCCAUAGGCCACCACCUUUGAACUAAUCAUAAGUAGCCAAGUUCGUCUCAUGGCAUAUGCAGAACGUGGUGUACUAGAAUAAGAGCUUGGAUUCAAUCAGUUGGUCAUGCUUACUGCAAUUUCGUGAUAUCGAUAUCAUGUUGUCAUGUAAUUCGUAGUCAUGCGGUCUAGCCAGCUAGAUUUUGGGCAAGUUAAUGUGCAUGAGACGUGUAUCCAUCUUCUGAGCAUUGGAGACUUGAAUAUGAGUGGUUCGCUCUUUAUGUUAUUAACUUCUCCUUUCACAUAAUUGUAGGUGUUUCAUAGCAGUGAAAUGGGCACAUGCCAGUCAUUGAUAAUAACUUUCAUCUUAUCCUGAUGUGAUUAAAGGCUUACGACAAUGGUUGGCCGAGAAUGUCUAAAAGCAGUCCAUUCAAAUAUAUUCACUCCUCACUUUUCUCUUUAUGUUUACACCAAAAAUUAGCUAAGUCAUUGGCAUAAUACUAAUUCAGAUAAACAUAUAACUUGGACAAGGCGUGACCAUUUGUGAGACACCAACGCGUAAGCCUUUAUCGAUGGCCAUACCAAUCGCAAGAACUCCUGUCAAUGGCUAUGCUUAUCAAUGACUAUGAUCAAUUAUUGACAUAAGAUAGCUGUUGGUUGCUGAUUAGCUAAAGAUGCCGACGAACAUGCUAAAGUUCAUUGUUCAACGAGCUGAAGUGGAGGAUCAAGAUGUGAUGUUAAAGAAUAACCAUCCCGGGAUGAAAAUUUGUGGCAACGUGAAGGCUUGGAGCGAGAAAUUCCAGAGAUGUGAAAGCAUGGCUAGAACCGCUGAAGAUCUGCUUAUAGGCAGUAAUAAAUACCAGUGUUUGUGUACUAUAAGCCCUCCUCCCUGCACAAAAACGAACGAACUUUUUUACCUUUCAAUUGUAUUUAAACCUAUAUCAUAGUCUAGCUGUCGUUUCUGGAUAUCUCAUCGUUGAUUAAAUUCCGGCGUAUAUCAUAACUGUGUCAUUGAGUUUUAGCCACUGUAAUUCUAUUGCAGGAUAAAACGCUCAGCAAAAUUCUAUCCUCUUGCCAUUUACAAUAGCCAAGCAACUCUCUUAUACAGGAAAAAACUCAUUCACAUGGCGACAUAAAUGAUUCAACAACAUGCAAGGAUCGUCCCACGGAAGAAGUUUGAUUCUCCCAGGACUUCCGAAUUCUGCUUUAUGCCAGGGACCUAGUUUCCAUUUGAAUCGCAAGAAUAUUUAGCCCACAAAAACAAAAAGAUCAAUGCGAUAUUGCAUUUGUACGAGCGGCUUUCAGGAUCACCCUACAAUUACACAUGAAGGCAAUGAGACUACUGGCAUGACAUACAAACUUUGUUGAGCUUGCUUCAGGUGCAUUUUGAGUGCAUCGUUGUUUACCUAGCAGGCAUCAUCAGAUAAUACUGUAAGAACAAGAUUCUACAGAAGAGCAAGGGUUUAUGCCCGCAGACCCCUGACAACACGAUGGAUCUAAAAUAUCGAGCCAUCAGUAAUCAUUGAGGAAUCUGACAACGAGGUAGAUCCAGGAUGAGAGCAUCAAAUCCAUGUUCCAUCUCGCCAAGAAAAGAAGAAAGGGUGCACCAUAAGAUUGUGAUGAAGAGAGCCCCAAAGCAGGUAAUUCAUCCCAUCCAUGGGCUCUCACAUGCCACAACGCAAAUUGAAGAAGGUGGUCCCUUUGGGUUAAUUAGGUAUGAAGGUAUUCCUUCCUCCUCUAUAACCCAAUUUCUACUUUCUAAUGAUCCAAAUAUCUGAACUCGAUCAGUUUAACUUCCACAUCCCGGGAGCACGAACGGGAACAAAUGUGUAUAGGUUAAAAAUAAUUACAAGUAAGCAAUCUCUCUGAGUUUGAUUUAAAUGAGCUUGCUUUGCAGUUAAUCUGCCAAGUCUCCAAGUUUCACCUCGUGACUCGAGUUGAACCCAAAUUUAAGGCUCAUUCAAGCUUCCAGUGGCAGAAUCCAGAUUUCUUUAACUGCUCUCUCAAGAAGCUGGAAUGCAUCAUUACGAUGUAAAGAUCAUAUCAGCAAACAUAGUAGUUGCAUUGUCUAUCUGGGGAAUAAAACAAAUAAAAGUGUAAUGAAAUAUCAAAGCUAGAGCAAAUCCAAUUACACUCACCAAAAAGAAUACCCACGAGCAUGACUACCUACCACUCUCACAGUAAUAAAAUUUCUUAACUUCUAUAAGGUCCCCAUGCAUCACGAAUUAUCAACCCAAUUAAAGAGCAUGCCACUCGUGGAACGAUACCUUAUCAUACUAAUAUUUUCUAAACAGAAAAUAAUAUUAAUCUGCUCAACACACCUGAAGCUAUGAUCGAGACUCCCGGCUUAAAUAUCAUGUACCAAUAAUAAAUUAUGAAGGGGAAAACCAAUAAAAUCGACCAAAACACAGAAGUCGGGACCAGAUAUUAAAAGGCACGAACAAAGACACUUAUGGACGAAAGCAAGCAACCCCAUUUCAAACUAAAAAACAACAACUAUGAAUCUUUUGUUUUUUUUCCUUCACCUCGCAUUUUCACGUGACAUGGAUGGCCCCAAAACACUAGAUUACACAUUGGAUACGCAAUAUUUUUCUGUGGGUCAUCAGUGGACGGCUUUUACCGGGGCUCGAUGCGUUCGCGAUAAGCGUCGGCAGACACACACAUAACUACCACGGCCAUUGUCUCAUCGAAUAUUCGAGGGGUCGCCGUAUUUGGACAAACAUCAUAUGCUUCGCAUGACGAACUUUCCAGAGGCAAUCAUUGUUGCUGGCAAUCUGUGAUUCUCGAAAUCGCCAUUAGCCAUUGGGGGCAGUCGUUUUGUCUCUUUCUAGUGUCUUAUCCUUGCAAGUCCCUCCGCUCUGCUCGCCACGUACGUGGGAGAUUACACUCCACGAGCGUCGCAUCUACAGAACCGACAGUCCCUGCGACCAAGUGUUGCCGACCUCAUUUUUUUAAAGUUAUCUAGUGAGCUUCAAUAGUUAACCGUUAUCAAGAGCAUUACGUCGCUUGAGAAAUCUUCCGAAAUUCUGAGUGAGCGUAAGGCGUGACUCAUCGCUUGCAACAGUUGCUGUUUAAUCUUCGUGCUAAAGGUGAAAGGGUCGCUACUUUCCCGGUGAGUCUGCGUUGGCCAAUCUUGGCAAUCGGCAAGGCAGUUUUACGAUGCAUUCUGCCCGAGGAAGAGGAGACGCGCACAACGCCUGGGGUGCGCCGAGGGCAUCGGUGGUCCUCGCCAGUCGCUGCGGUGGCUUAGGGCUUGGUAGUUCAAUUCGAGGUUCAUGUAUUUCAUGCAUUUUGGGAUGAAAAAUGUCCUGUUGAGAGAGCGAAAAUCUAUUUCCUGCAAAAGUACGUAAGGAUUCCUUGCACGAGCCUCUAAGCUAAGUAUGGAAAAUGGGUAAAUCCUAGGAGUGAGUAUGAUCCUUGUUGAAUUGGUCCAACAUCUAACUUAGGGGUCAAUCCGCAUGGUAUUAAUUCUCAAUUUUUGAGAUAGAAGAUCAACCCUGUUGAACCUAAGAUCAAGAAAGUCUAAUCUAGUUAUAAAAAGACAAAAGUAUUAUUUUGAAUUAUAUAUCCAUUAACAAUACGACAUUAAACAAUCAACUACGAACACCAAUUCCUAUUAAACAUAAAUAUAAAAUAAAGUAACAAUAGAAAUUUACAAAUGAACAUGCAAAGUGAGGCAAGAAAGGCAAGCAGUGAGGCAAAUGAACAAAGGCAAGCAAGGAGAACAAAGAGAGGCGAGUGAUUAGCAAGCGAGCGAGACUAGGGCAAGCAACUGAGACUGAGGUGAGUGAAGGGGGUUUCUUUUUUUCUUUUUGAGUCAAAUUAAGGCUAUGUUUCUUUCAACUUUCUAAUGUACACGAUGAACUAAAAUGCGAAGAAAACAAAGGAGGAGGCCUUAGAAUUUAUAGUAAACAAAAGCAUAUAAUAGAUAAUAUAUUAAAUAUAUAAUAUUUGUUAUAUAUUAUGUACAAGAUUGGUCCAGAUUGGAUCAACUCUAAACUUUUAAGAUCGAGAAUGAACUCGCAUAGUAAAGGAUCUAGUGAUCUAAGAACUAGUGAUUGACCCACUCGCCUUAGGAGCUAGAUUAAGAUCAAUCAGGUUAACCUUAGACUAGUGCUUGCCCCUAGUUAAUUGUUAUUUAAUCCGAAUAAGAUGGCUCUUUGGCAAUUGUUAGAGAGAGAGGGAGAAUGAGAGGGUCGCGAUGUUCAUAGCCCACAAUACGGCCUUGCUCUUUUUGUUUUUCGUAAAUCCAGAGCAUGAGUAAGGUGUUUUUGGAGAAUAUAGGGUUGGGGAUGGGACCCACGAGUCCUUCUUUUGUCCUUUUCCAUGGCGGUUUGCAGGUAAUUCGCGAAUGCUCCUGAUUGCCGCUUCCUCUCAUUUCUAUUUUCAUUUUUUUAAAAUCUUCUUAACUAACAGGUUGAUUUAUUUUGGAGCUUAAAUUAUAUUUUAAACUCUUACAAAAGAAACAUAGGCAUUUUUUUAGCAAGUCCUAAUAUACGGGCCUCGGUUGUUAAUCAGUGGAUGUUUUUAGAUUUCAUAUUCUAGUUAAACUCAGUUGUUUUGCUCCAUAAACUUAUUUAUGACACUCAAAUCUAAAUCUUAAUAAAAUAUGUGCAUUAGGUGGAACAUUUAAUAAUAAUCUUAGAGAAACAAGUUAGUCAUAGAUAAGAGUUUAUAAACAAAAAAACAAAAAAAAACAACAUUAAUUGAGAUACAAACAAAGAGAACAAUAUAAUUAGUCGGUUGUAUUGCUCAGAAGUAUAGCUUUCUUCUCCAUCUUAUGUUUAUCUUGCUCUUCCUAAGUGUUGCAAUCUGGAAGUAUGAAACAGGAACAAGUAUGAGAAUCAUGAAAAUAGUUUCACGAUCAUUUCGUAAUUGCUAACUCAGACUUAUAUUGAUAGGGUGGUUUCUUUGGCAUCUUUAUAUUGUCUUUGUUACUCCAUCCAUUAGGAAUCUCUGCUUCCAUUUUUUAUACAUAGUUGGCCCUUCUAUGCAUUGCUCUCAUGAUGACAACAAAAGACUAAAGCCCCGAUCGAACAAGUUCGUCAAGACUAACUUUCAAAGGUGGGAUCACUUUUAUACCGCUGGCUAAUGAAUAACUUUCUUGAGAUCAAACAUAUCCGGUUUACAUUUCACACUACAUGAUAGAGAACAAGAGCAUGGUCCCACUUACUUACCUGCCCCAAUUGCAACUUCCCCCAAUCAACGUUAGCCUCGAUUGCGACUUCCCUAAUCAACACUAGCUAAGUCCAACUUUUCAUCUUAGUGCGUGGGACACCCUUCUCUUUUCUGUGUCCUCAUCUUGAAAUAAAUCGCAAUGCGAAUAAAAAUAUUUCAAAAGGAAAUCAAACGGUAGCGCUUGUCAAGACGAGAUAGGCCUAAUCCUUCUAUAAAUAACCUACCGACUCCACCUCUCACUAUGCAGAAACCUCAAAAAAUAUGUCUCCAAAAACCAUCUUUGUGCUUUUCCUGCUUACAGUGGUGCUCACCAGUGCCGCUCUCGCCGACCAUGGCAAACCUUACAAGAAACCACCGCCAAAAAAGAAACCUCCAACGGAAGAAACCACCACCCUUGAUGAGGAAACUCUGACCACCUUGGAUGGCAGCAAGAAGCCACCACCGAAAAAGAAACCUCCAACGGAAGAAGCUGGAAUGCAUCAUUACGAUGUAAAGAUCAUAUCAGCAAACAUAGUAGUUGCAUUGUCUAUCUGGGGAAUAAAACAAAUAAAAGUGUAAUGAAAUAUCAAAGCUAGAGCAAAUCCAGUUACACUCACCAAAAAGAAUACACACAAGCAUGACUAUCUACCAUUCUCUCCGUAAUAAAAUUUCUCGACUUCUAUAAGGUCCCCAUGCAUCACGAUCUAUCAACCCAAUUAAAGAGCAUGCCACUCGUCGAGCGAUAUCUAAUCAUCUUAAUAUUUUCUAAACAGAAAAUAAUAUUAAUCUGCUUAACAUACCUGAAGCUAUGAUCGAGACUCCUGGCUUAAAUAUCAUGUACCAAUAAUAAAAUAUGAAGGGGAAGACCAAUAAAAUCGACCAAAACACAGAAGUCGGGACCAUAUAUUAAAAGGCACGAACAAAGACGCUUAUGGACGAAAGCAAGCAACCCCAUUUCAAACUAAAGAGCAACACCUAUGAAUCUUUUGUUUUUUUUUUUCCUUCACCUCGCAUUCUCACGUGACAUGGAUGGCCCCAAAACAGUAGGAAUACACAUUGGAUACGCAAUAUUUUUCUGUGGGUCAUCAGUGGACGGCUUUUACUGGGGCUCUAUGCGUUCGCGAAAACCGUCGGCAGACACUAACAUAACUACCACGGCCAUUGUCUCAUCGAAAAUUCGAGGGGUCGCCGCAUUUGGACAAACAUCAUGUGCUUCGCAUGACGAACUUUGCAGAGGCAAUCAUUGUUGCUGCCAAUCUGUGAUUCUCGAAAUCGCCAUUAGCCAUUUACUCUCUUUCUAGUGUCUUAUCUUUGCAAGUCCCUCCGCUCUGCUCUCCACGUACGUGGGAGAUUACACUCCACGAGCGUCGCAUCUAGAGAGCCGACAGUCCCUGCGACCAAGUAUUGCCGACCUCAUUUUUUAAAGUUAUCUAGUGAGCUUCAAUAGUUAACCAUUAUCAAGAGCAUUAUGUCGCUUGAGAAAUCUUCCGAAAUGCUGAGUGAGCGUAAGGCGUGACUCAUCGCUUGCAACAGUUGCUGUUUAAUCUUCGUGCAAAAGGUGAAAGGGUCGCUACUUUCACGAUGAGUCUGCGUUGGCUAAUCUUGGCAAUCGGCAAGGCAGUUUUACGAUGCAUUCUGCCCGAGGGAGAGGAGACGCGCACAACGCUUGGGGUGUGCCGAGGGCAUAGGUCGUCCUCGCCAAUCGCCAUGGUGGCUUAGGGCUUGGUAGCUCAAUUCGAGGUCCCUCUAUUUCAUGCAUUUUGGGAUGAAAAAUGUCCUUGUUGAAAGAGCGAAAAUAGUUCUAUUUCCUGCAAAAGUAUGUAAAGAUUCGUUGCACGAGCCUCUAAGCUAAGUAUGGAAAAUGGGUAAGUCUUAGGGGUGAGUAUGAUCCAUGUUGAGCUGGUCCAAUAUCUAACUUAGGGGUCAAUCUGCACGGUAUUAGUUCUCAAUUUUUUAGACCAAAGAUUAACCCUAUUGAGCCCAAGACCAAGGAAGUCUAAUCCAAUUCCAGCGGACCAAUAAAUUAUUUUUUGUUUUACUUUUGGUAUUCCUUAAAAAGACAAACGUACUAUUUCAAAUUACAUAUCCAUUAACAAUGUGACAUUAAACAAUAAAACUACAAACACCAAUACCUAUAAAACAUAAAUAUAAGAUCAAGUAAGAAUAGAAAUUUACAAAUGAACAUGCAAAAUGAGGCAAGAAAGGCAAGCAGUCGGGCAAAUGAAGAAAGGCAAGCGAGGCGAGCAAAGAGAUGCGAGUGAUUAGCAAGCGAGCAAGACCAAGGCAAGCAACUAAGGCCGAGGUGAGUUAAGUGGGUUUCUUUUUUUCUUUUUUCUUUUUUCCUUUCUUUUAGGUCAAAUUAAGGUUAUGUUUUUUUCUACUUUCUAAUUUACACGACAAACUAAAAUGCAAAGAAAACAAAAGAGGAGGCCUUAGAAUUUAGAGUAAACAAAAGCAUAUAAUAUUUAAUAUAUAUUACAUAUUAUGAUUCGAGCUAUACUAACCCUAAACUUUUAAGAUCUAAGAUGAACUCCUAUAAUAGAGGAUCCGGUGAUAUGAAAACCAAUGAUCAACCCGCUCGCCUUAGGAGAUAGAUUAGGAUCAAUCGGAUUAUCCCUACACUGGUGCUUGCCCCUAGUUAAUCACUUGCUUUUCCUUCGGCAUGGAAAAAUUGUUAUUUAAUCCGAAUAAGAUGGCUAUUUGGCAAUUAGAGAGAGAGAAUGAGAGGGUUGCGAUGUUCAUAGCCCACAACACGGCCUUGCUCUUUUUGUUUUUCGUAAAUCCAGAGCAUGAGUAAGGUGUUUUUGGAGAAUAUAGGGUUGGGGAUGGGACCCACGAGUCCUUCGUUUGUCCUUUUCCAUGGCGGUUUGCAGGUAAUUCGCGAAUGCUCCUGAUUGCCGCUUCCUCUCAUUUUUAUUUUUCUUUUUCUAAAAUCUUCUUAACUAACAGGUUGAUUUAUUUUGGAGCUUAAAUUAUAUUUUAAACUCUUACAAAAGAAACAUAAGCAUUUUUUUAGCAAGUCCUAAUAUACGAGCCUCGGUUGUUAAUCAGUGGAAGUUUUUAAAUUUCAUAUUCUAGUUAAACUUAGUUGUUUUGCUCCAUAAACUUAUUUAUGACACUCAAAUCUAAAUCUUAACAAAAUAUGUGCAUCAGGUGGAACAUGUAAUAAUAAUCUUCGAGAAACAAGUUAGUCAUAGAUAAGAGUUUAUAAAAUAAAAUAAAAUAAAGCAACAUUAAUUGAGUUACAAAUAAAGAUAAUAAUAUAAUUAGUCGGUUGUACUGCUCAAAAGUAUAGCUUUCUUCUCCAUCUCACAUUUGCCUUGCUCUUCCUAAGUGUCACAUUCUGAAAGUGUGAAAUAGGAACGAGUAUGAGAAUGAUGAAAAUAGUUUCACAAUCAUCUCGUAACUGCUAACGUCAGACUUAUAUAGAUAGGGGUUUCUUUGGCAUCUUUAUAUUGUCUUUGUUACUCCAUUCAUUAGGAAUCUCUGCUUCCAUUUUUUAUACAUAGUUGGCCCUUCUAUGCAUUGCUCUCAUGAUGACAGCUAAAGACUAAAGCCCUGAUCGACCAAGUUCGUCGACACUAACUUUCAAAGGUGGGAUCACUUUUAUACCGCUGGCUAAUGCAUACCUUCCUUGAGAUCAAACAUAUCCAGUUUACAUUUCACACUACACGAGGGAGAUCAAGAGCACGGUCCAGCUUACUUACCUGCCCCAAUUGCAACUUCCCCAAUCAACAUUAACCCCAAUUACAACUUCCCUAAUCAACACUAGCUAAGUCCAACUUUUCAUCUCAGUGCGUGGGACACCCUUCUCUUUUCAGUGUCCUUAUCUUGAAAUAAACCGCUAUGUGAAUGAAAAUAUUUCAAAAGGAAAUCAAGCGGCACGUGUCAAGACGAGAUAGGCCCAAUCCUUCUAUAAAUAACCUACCGACUCCACUUCUCACCAUGCAGAAACCUCAGAAAAUAUGUCUCCAAAAACCAUCUUUGUGCUUUUCCUGCUUACAGUGGUGCUCACCACUGCCACUCUUGCCGACCAUGGCAAACCUCACAAGAAACCACCACCGAAAAAGAAACCUCCAACGGAAGAAACCACCGCCCUUGAUGAGGAAACUCUGACCACCUUGGAUGGUGGCAAGAAGCCACCACCGAAAAAGAAACCUCCAAUGGAAGAAACCAUCGCCCUUGAUGAGGAUGGUGGCAAGAAGAAACCACCGCCGAAAAAGAAACCUCCAACAAAAACCACCACCCUCGAUGAGGAAACCCUGACCACCUUGGAUGGUGGCAAGAAGCCACCACCGAAAAAGAAACCUCCAACGGAAGAAACCACCGCCCUUGAUGAGGAUGGUGGCAAGAAGAAACCACCACCCAAAAAGAAACCUCCAACAGAAGAAACCACCACCCUCAAUGAGGAAACCCUGACCACUUUGGAUGGUGGCAAGAAGCCACCACCAAAAAAGAAACCUCCAACGGAAGAAACCACCACCCUUGACGACGAAACUCUGGCCACCUCAAAUGGUGGUAGGCCUUUCAUGAAGAAGCCACCACCGAAAAAGAAACCUCCCACGGACUAAACCUUGGCCGCCAUGGACGGUGGGCAUUGAGGACUCUGACAAGCCACCAACUGUCAAACCACCUCACAACCCACCAGCUUCUAAC
This 9998-nucleotide long non-coding RNA is filed under the name Eucalyptus grandis. RNAcentral's name for it is "long non-coding RNA (EGRA_LNC004510)". The record is from RNAcentral. Lineage: Eukaryota; Viridiplantae; Streptophyta; Magnoliopsida; Myrtales; Myrtaceae.